This 3541-nucleotide ribosomal RNA is filed under the name Neurospora crassa OR74A. Its description in RNAcentral is "eukaryotic LSU rRNA". It matches the Rfam family "Eukaryotic large subunit ribosomal RNA". Lineage: Eukaryota; Fungi; Ascomycota; Sordariomycetes; Sordariales; Sordariaceae. The record is from RNAcentral.
ACUUUUAAUAAUAAAUCUCUUAAUUCUAGUAUCAAUAAAGAACGUAGCGAAAUAUAAUAAAUAAUAUAAAUUAUAGAAUUUAGUAAAUUAUUAAAUCUUUAAACGUAUAUUAUAUUUAUUAAUAUUCUAGUAAGUAUGCCUAUUCGAGUGUUAUUUUAAUUAUUAAGUUCUACUUACGUUGGGGAUCCGCGGCUAUCUAUAGUCCUUUAAAAUUAGUAGCGGGCUUGCUAAUUAUACUAAAUAUAGUAAUUUUAUAUUAUUAUAGUCGUACGGCGGGUUUUUACUAUAAAACCCCCUAUUUCUAAAAUUAACCUCGGAUUAAAUAAAAAUAUUCGCUGAACUUAAAUAUAUUAAUAAGUAGAGGAAAAGAAACUAAUAAGGAUUGCCCUAAUAAUAGUAAAUAAAGCGGCAAUAGUUUAAAUUUGAAAUUUGGCUUUGGCCCGAAUUGUAAUUUGUAGAGGAAGCUUUUAGUGAGGCACUUUUUGAGUCCCUUAGAAUAAGGCGCUAUAGAGGGUGAGAGCCCCGUAUAAUCGGAUGUUAAUCUAAUAUAAAACUCCUUCAACGAAUCGAAUAAUUUAAGAAUAUUAUUUAAAAUAGGAGGUAAAUUUCUUCUAAAGCUAAAUACCGGUUAAAAAUUAAUAGUAUAUAAAUAGAGUAAUUGAAAGAUAAAAAGUACUUUGAAAAGAAGGUUAAAUAGUAUAUGAAAUUAUUGAAAGGGAAGUAUUUAUAAUUAGAUUUGUACUAUUCCGAUUAUUUAGUAUUCUUACUAAUAUAUUUAGGAUAGUUUAAACUAAUAUUAAUUUUAGUAGGGGGAUAAAGGUCCGGAGAAUAUAGCUCCUCCGGGAGUAUUAUAGCCCUAGGCGUAAUACCCUCGCUAGGACCGAAGUUUGUGUAUUUAUAAGGAUACUAGUAUAAUAAUUAUUAACAACCUAUUUUAAAAUACGGAUUAAAAAAUUAAAGUUUUAUACGAAUAUUUAGGUAUAAAACCUAUAUAUAUAAUAAAAAUGAACGUAGGUGAGAGCUUCGGUAUAUUAUCGACCGAUUUUAAUAUAUUUGGAUAGAUUUAAGUAAGAGCGUUAAAUUUUAAACCUGAAAGAUAGUAAAUUAUAUUUGGAUAGGGUGAAGCUAGAGGAAAUUCUAGUAGAGGCUCAUAGUAAUUCUAAUAUAUAAAUCGAUUAUUAAAUUUAAAUAUAGGGGCGAAAGAUUAAUUAAACCAUUUAGUAACUAAUUACCGCCGAAGUUUCCCUUAGGAUAGUAAUAUUAUUCUUUAAUUUUAUAAAGUAAAGCGAAUAAUUAGGGAUUCGGGGGCACUUUUUAGCCUUUAUCUAUUCUUAAACUUUAAAUAUAUAAGAAACCCUUAUUAUUUAAUUAAAUAUAGGUAUUCGAAUAUACUAAUACUAGUAGGCUAUUUUUAGUAAGUAGAAUUAGUAAUACGGGAUAAACCGAACGCGGGGUUAAAGUACUGGAGUAGAUAUUUAUUAAAUACUAUAAAAGGUGUUAGUAUAUUUUAAUAGUAGGAUAGUAGCUAUAGAAGUUGGAAUUUAUUAAGGAUUAUAUAAUAAUUUACUUACUGAAUAUAUUAGCCUUGAAAAUGGAUAGCGUUUAAGUAUCCCACCUAUACCCUACCCUUAGGGUAGAAAUAAUACCCUAAGGAGUAGGCGGCCGUAGAAGUUAAUAACGAAGUUUAGGGCGUAAGCCCGGGUUGAACGGCUUCUAAUACAAAUUUUAAUAGUAGUAAUAAAUAUUUUAAUAAGAAUUUAAAGGACCGAAGUAGGGAAAGGUUCUAUAUAAAUAGCGGUUGGAUAUAAGUUAGUCGAUUUUAAAUUAUAAGGAAGUUCCAUUUUAAAGGGGCACUUAUACUCCGUAUAGCGAAAGGGAAGCCGGUUAAUAUUCCGGCACUUAAAUAUAAAUUUUAUACAAUAAUAUAAUUGAAUAUAGAGAUAACAGCGAAGGCCCCGGGUAGAGUUCUCUUUUCUUUUUAAUAGUUUAUUACCCUAAAAAUAAUUUAUUUGGAGAUAAGGUUUAAUAGUUAGAAGAGUCCGAUACUUCUAUUAGGUCCGGUAUAUUCUUAAUAUCCCUUAAAAAUCUGUGGGAGGAAAUAAUUCUUAUGUUAAAUUAUAUUUAUAAUUGUAAUAGGUCUUUAAGGUGAAUAGCCUCUAAUUAAUAGAAUAAUAUAAAUAAGGGAAAUUGGUAAAAUAGAUCCGUAAUUUCGGGAAAAGGAUUAAUUCUAAGGGUUAGGUACGUUAGGCUUUAGGCAAACGCCCUAGAAAUAAAUUACUACUAGCCGGGCAACUGGCCGGCGGCUUUUAGUAUCUAAGUAUAGAAGCCCUUAAUAAACUUCGGUCGUCCGGCGUAUAUUUAAUAACUAAUUUAAAAUUAGUACGGAUAAGGGGAAUCUAAUUAUCUAAUUAAAAUAUAGUAUUACAAUGGCUAGAAAGUGGUAUUAACGUAAUAUAAUUUCUGCCUAGUACUCUGAAUAUUAAAGUAAAGAAAUUUAACUAAGCGUAGGUAAAUAGCGGGAAUAAUUAUAAUUCUCUUAAAGUAAUUAAAUACUUCGUUAUUUAAUUAGUAAUAUAUAUAAAUAGAUUAAUAAGAUUCCUAUUAUUCCUAUUUACUAUUUAGCGAAACUAUAACUAAGGGAAUAGGCUUAGUAAAAUUAGCGGGGAAAGAAGAUCCUAUUAAAUUUAAUUUUAAUUUAAUAUUAUAAAAAGAUAUAGGAAGUAUAGAAUAGGUAGGAGCUUCAGUACUAAUAAAAUACUACUAUUCCUAUUAUUUUUUUAUUUAUUUAAUUAAGCAGGGCUGGAUUUUCAUCUAACUUCUAAUUUUAAAAUCUUUUAUAGGCUAACCUAAGUUAAAAAUAUUAUUAGGUAAGGAGUUUGGUUAGGGUAGUACAUUUAUUAAACUAUAAUAUAAGUAUCUUAAGGGGGGCUUAUAGAGAAUAGAAAUCUCUAAUAGAAUAAAAGGGUAAAAGUCCCUUUAAUUUUAAUUUUCAAUAUAAAUACAAACUAUAAAAGUAUAGCCUAUCGAUCCUUUAGUCCCUCGAAAUUUAAGACUAGAGGUACUAAAAAAGUUACUAUAGGAAUAAUUAGCUUAUAGUAGCUAAAUGUUUAUAGCAACGUUGCUUUUUAAUCCUUUAAUAUCGGCUCUUCCUAUUAUAUUAAAAUAGAAUUUAGUAAGUAUUAAAUUAUUUACCUACUAAUAAAGAACGUAAAUUAAGUUUAGACUAUUAUAAAAUAGGUUAGUUUUACCCUACUAAUAAUUUUAUUAUAAUAAUAAUUAAAUUUAAUAUAAAAGGAACUACUUAUUUAAAUAAUUAGUUUUUAUAAUUAUCCGACCGGGCAAUAUUAUAACGCUACUAUCUAUUAAAUAAUAGUUAAACGCUUUUAAAUUAGAAUCUAUAUUAGAAUAUAAUAAUACCUCUAAUAUAUUAUAGACGUAUAAGAAUAGGCUCCGGCCUCGUAUUUUAAUAAGCGAUUCCUCUAUUAACCUUAAAGUGGUUAGUGGUAAUUCGCGUAUUGUAAUUUUAAUACGCGCUAGAUCA